This 427-nucleotide ribosomal RNA is filed under the name uncultured Rhodocyclaceae bacterium. Its description in RNAcentral is "partial 16S ribosomal RNA". It matches the Rfam family "Bacterial small subunit ribosomal RNA", at positions 355 to 774 of the family's 1533-position model. The record is from RNAcentral. Lineage: Bacteria; Pseudomonadati; Pseudomonadota; Betaproteobacteria; Rhodocyclales; Rhodocyclaceae.
UGGGGAAUUUUGGACAAUGGGCGCAAGCCUGAUCCAGCCAUUCCGCGUGAGUGAAGAAGGCCUUCGGGUUGUAAAGCUCUUUCGGCAGGGAAGAAAUCGCAUGGGCUAAUAUCCUGUGUGGAUGACGGUACCUGAAUAAGAAGCACCGGCUAACUACGUGCCAGCAGCCGCGGUAAUACGUAGGGUGCGAGCGUUAAUCGGAAUUACUGGGCGUAAAGCGUGCGCAGGCGGUUUGGUAAGACAGAUGUGAAAUCCCCGGGCUUAACCUGGGAACUGCGUUUGUGACUGCCAAGCUAGAGUACAGCAGAGGGGGGUGGAAUUCCUGGUGUAGCAGUGAAAUGCGUAGAGAUCAGGAGGAACACCGAUGGCGAAGGCAGCCCCCUGGGUUGAUACUGACGCUCAUGCACGAAAGCGUGGGGAGCAAACA